GGGUCGGUGGCGUAGUUGGUUAUCGCAUCUGUCUUACAAGUGCGCACAGAAGGUCCUCAGUUCGAGCCUGGGUCGACUCA
Molecule: transfer RNA, 80 nt
Filed under: Fibroporia radiculosa
Lineage: Eukaryota; Fungi; Basidiomycota; Agaricomycetes; Polyporales; Fibroporiaceae
Rfam family: tRNA
About the family: Transfer RNA (tRNA) molecules are approximately 80 nucleotides in length.
Source: Rfam by way of RNAcentral